UUUCCUUGAGCGUUUUGCUUUCUUCUUCUCCUUAAUUGCUUUCUGAUCUGAUGAUCCCUCUUGAACUUCCUUUGCCAAACUGUCAAUAUCCUUUGCAGAAGAAAUGGACGUCUUACUCUUCAUAAUAGAUUCAUCCAAAGGUACAUUUUCAUCUGAAUCUUCUGAGUGAUUAGGAAUAUCCAUGGCCUCUAUUGCUUCAUGGUGAGCUGAAACUAGAGUUUUAAAAUCCGUUCCUGCUAGGAAAAGAUCAUCAUAUUUUCCUGCCUGUAUGAUAUGACCUUCUUUAAGAACCUUCAAAAUUGAAAAAAUAACGUGAGAAAGAGAACUAAAAGAGAAUUCUUGAAAGAAUAAAAUAUCUUUAUAGGCAAAGAUAAAUUACACAACUUGACAAAUAAAGGGAGACUAGGGACCAAUGAUAUACCAGACAAGAAAAGGAAAAGUUUUUUAAAGUAGUGGCAAAACAUUCAACUACCAUAAUGACCAAUACAUUGGAGUAACUCAGUAGGAAGCUGCCAUAAAACAGAACAAUAUCAUGGGAGGGAGCCAAGAGUUCCAUUAUCAAAUAAGCAGCUUUACUAGAUUGUGUGCACAGAUAAAUUUCAUAUAGAUGCAAAACUAAUAACUUUCCUCUCUCCUUGAUGUUACAGCUUGUCGACAUCUCAUGUCAAUCUAUAAUAUUAUCACGUUAAAAAUAUUGCAUAUUCAAUCUUAAAACUGACUGCUUUGUUGUUUUACAUAUGUUUCCUUGACAUGUCUGAAGUAGUAAAGAUUUGGCAGUAUAUACUUGUGAAGUUCUGUUUUUUUACGUAUUGAAAAUAGUAAAGGAAAUCAAGAACCAUACUUCAAAAGAGUGAAGGUGUUAUGAAAGACCAGAUUCAAUAUAAAAAGAAAAAAUUAAGAACCCAACCAGGAUAUGGGGAGAGAGAAAAAAUGCAUGAAAGUGAAACAGUAGAGAGCAAUUCCAACCCCUGAUCAUGCAGGGAAUACAUAACGUUGAAAGGCAAAAAUACAAAAACACCUGAAAUGAAAUAUAAACAUCAUCCAGGUCUUUUAUUGCAUAAAUGUGUAAGACAAAAUAAGGCCAUACCAGUAUCAUAUCAGCAGAAGGAAGAAAUUCAACUUGAUGGGUCACAAAGAUGACUGUCUUAUCUGCUAACGCUGUCAAUACAUACUCCUGCAGUUACAUGACAUGCAAAUUAAGCCAAACCAAAUACAUUUAAACUGUAUACCCAAAAAAUCAUUUAAACAGCAUCAUUAACUCCAAGCUUAAGAAAGCUAACCCUAAAUAAUUCCGAUCCAGUGUGGGCAUCAACUGCACUGAAGGGAUCAUCAAGGAGGUAAAUUUCAGCAUCUUGGUAGAGUGCUCGUGCAAGCUGAACCCGCUGCUUCUGGCCACCGCUCA
Molecule: long non-coding RNA, 1402 nt
Filed under: Phaseolus vulgaris (common bean)
Lineage: Eukaryota; Viridiplantae; Streptophyta; Magnoliopsida; Fabales; Fabaceae
Description: long non-coding RNA (PVUL_LNC002317)
Source: RNAcentral